AUAUAAGCAAAAUUGACUUUUUAGGUUCAUUCAUUUAAUGAUGUAUGUGGUUUAUAAUAUAGACCACAUACAUCAUUAAAUGAAUGAACUUAAAAAAUUAUUUUUGCUUAUAU
Medicago truncatula (barrel medic) is the source of this 113-nucleotide microRNA precursor. It matches the Rfam family "MIR2593 microRNA precursor family". NCBI's taxonomy places the organism in Eukaryota, Viridiplantae, Streptophyta, Magnoliopsida, Fabales, Fabaceae. The record is from Rfam.